This 401-nucleotide unclassified non-coding RNA is filed under the name soil metagenome. Its description in RNAcentral is "partial contains 5.8S ribosomal RNA, internal transcribed spacer 2, and large subunit ribosomal RNA". The stretch from base 1 to 121 matches the Rfam family "5.8S ribosomal RNA", at positions 35 to 154 of the family's 154-position model. The record is from RNAcentral.
GAUGAAGAACGCAGCGAAAUGCGAUAAGUAAUGUGAAUUGCAGAAUUCAGUGAAUCAUCGAAUCUUUGAACGCACCUUGCGCCCUUUGGCUAUUCCAAAGGGCAUGCCUGUUUGAGUAUCAUGAACACCUCAACUCUUGUGGUUUCCCACAAUGAGCUUGGACUGUGGAGGUUUUGUUGGCCCUGUGGUCAGCUCCUCUCAAAUGGAUCAGCUUACCGGUGUUUGGUGGCAUUACGGGUGUGAUAACUAUCUACGCUCGUGGUCGUCUCCAAAUAACCUCCAGUGAUGGAGGUUCGCUGGAGCUUAUAAAUGUCUCUCCCCAGUGAAGACAGCCUUUGAACGUUCGAUCUCAAAUCAGGUAGGACUACCCGCUGAACUUAAGCAUAUCAAUAAGCGGAGGA